UUGACCUCGGAUCAGGUAGGGAUACCCGCUGAACUUAAGCAUAUCAAUAAGCGGAGGAAGAUC
RNAcentral lists this ribosomal RNA (63 nucleotides) under Botryosphaeria sp. S14. Its description in RNAcentral is "partial 28S ribosomal RNA". It matches the Rfam family "Eukaryotic large subunit ribosomal RNA", at positions 1 to 62 of the family's 3401-position model. Lineage: Eukaryota; Fungi; Ascomycota; Dothideomycetes; Botryosphaeriales; Botryosphaeriaceae. The record is from RNAcentral.